Molecule: long non-coding RNA, 260 nt
Filed under: Carica papaya (papaya)
Lineage: Eukaryota; Viridiplantae; Streptophyta; Magnoliopsida; Brassicales; Caricaceae
Description: long non-coding RNA (CPAP_LNC006827)
Source: RNAcentral
UGGCGGCAAGUUCUAAGUCAUGAGUGGGAUAAUUCUUAUCAUGACUCUUCAACUACUUGUACCCAUAGGUUAUGACCUUCCUAUGCUGCAUCAAAACACAACCCAACCCUAGGUAAGAGAUAUCACUAUAUAUUAUGUAUGUACCUGUCCCACUCGGUAAAGCCAAUACAGGUGCACUAGUCAACCACUUCUUGAGUUCCAUAAAGCUCAUUUUGUAAUCAUCGUUUCAUUUAAACUUAACGUUCUUCUUUGUAAGCUAG